This 446-nucleotide ribosomal RNA is filed under the name uncultured bacterium. RNAcentral describes it as "bacterial SSU rRNA". It matches the Rfam family "Bacterial small subunit ribosomal RNA", at positions 330 to 793 of the family's 1533-position model. The record is from RNAcentral.
GCCAGACUCCUACGGGAGGCAGCAGUGGGGGAUAUUGCACAAUGGGGGGAACCCUGAUGCAGCGACGCCGCGUGGGUGAAGGAGCGUUUCGACGCGUAAAGCCCUAUCGGCAGGGAAGAAAAUGACGGUACCUGAAGAAGAAGCCCCGGCUAACUACGUGCCAGCAGCCGCGGUAAUACGUAGGGGGCAAGCGUUAUCCGGAUUUACUGGGUGUAAAGGGGGCGCAGACGGCGAUGCAAGCCAGGAGUGAAAGCCCGGGGCCCAACCCCGGGACUGCUCUUGGAACUGCGUGGCUGGAGUGCAGGAGGGGCAGGCGGAAUUCCUGGUGUAGCGGUGAAAUGCGUAGAUAUCAGGAGGAACACCGGUGGCGAAGGCGGCCUGCUGGACUGCAACUGACGUUGAGGCUCGAGAGCGUGGGGAGCAAACAGGAUUAGAUACCCCCGUAA